GAAAGGUGCACUGCUGUGAAUAGCACAUUGCAGAGACACCUGCGCUUUAUCCGUGCAGGAUCGAUAGCAAGAGACUUCGGAAGCACAAUUUUUGUUUCUUGGAGCGGCUGGUGAUUGUUUGUCUCGGUGCGCCA
This is a small nuclear RNA of Carcharodon carcharias (great white shark), 134 nucleotides long. RefSeq annotates it as U11 spliceosomal RNA. Lineage: Eukaryota; Metazoa; Chordata; Chondrichthyes; Lamniformes; Lamnidae. The record is from RefSeq and is a predicted model, not a curated record. The transcript has a single exon.